CAAAAUGGCGACGAGUUUCAAGAAAAAAUCCUCUCGAGGAAGGUCUGUUUUUAUACCCGGAACACGGCCUUCUCUACAUAACAACCAACUCCUCGUAUCCACUGGUAUUCCCUCUAUGGAUGCUGUAAUUGGAGGAGGAGUUGCUGUUGGUACCGUAGUUAUGAUUGAGGAAGACAAUUAUGGUUCAUAUGCCAGACAGAUUUUAAAGUAUUUCCUGGCCGAAGGUGUGGUAUCUGGUCAUGGUUUGUUCCUGGCAUCAGCCGAUAUUGAUCCUCAAACUAUUCUAAAGGAUUUGCCACACCCAUUAGAUCAUGGGGAUGAUAAUACAGACUCAACAAACCAGGAAGAUACCAUGAAAAUUGCUUGGAGAUAUCAGCAGAAAAGCAAAGUGCAGUCUAAUCCCUCACACAAUAGAUUUGGUCAUUAUUAUGACUUAAGCAGAGUAAUGGAUGAAAAGAAACUUGAUACUAUCCCAGUAAGGAUGUUCAAUGCUGCAGAAGAAUGCACUUCAGAUAGCCCAAAAAACAGUAGAAGUAAUAGUCUCUAUGAGAAAUUACUAUCAGAGGUCAAUAGCACCAUCACAGAUGGAGGAUACAGUACAACAGCUGCAAAGCAGCAACAAGAACGUAGCAUACUUAGGAUAGCUAUCCACAGCCUUGGCUCACAGCUGUGGGGUGAAGAAUGUGGAGCGACCUGCGUUGACUUUAGUCCAGCAUUGCCAUGGUUUCUCUACUCCCUUAGAGCCACCUUAAGAUCGUCAUUAGUUGUCUGUAUGGUCACCAUACCAACACAUGUUUUUCAGGAUUCUGGGUUUACACAUCGGAUAGAGAGAUUGUGUGAUACUGUGCUAGCGCUUGAAUCCUUUGCCGGCUCUGACAAAGAAACCAAUCCACUUUAUAGAGAUUAUCAUGGUUUAUUCAACAUUGUUCGUCUACCUCGUCUGAACACUUUAACAACUCACAUGCCAGACAGUCUGGAUCUCGCCUUCAAACUCAAAAGAAAGAAGUUCUCUAUUGAGACCCUGCAUCUUCCUCCUGACUUGUCUGAAUCAGUAAGUAGGAAUCAAGAAGAAGCAAUCCGUCCCAAACCAGGUGCUUUAGCGUGUCAAACCGGAUCAGGAAACAGUAAACUGGACUUCUAAACCAUGAGAAAUAUAGGCUAGUAACAACUAUUGUUUGAACUACGAAGGAUAUUGCGACGAUGGACACACAAAAGCAAGUGUGGAUGGCAGUCAGGAUAUGAUCCCACAUGGGGAAGAAUGAGGUUCAU
This 1269-nucleotide unclassified non-coding RNA is filed under the name Actinia tenebrosa (Australian red waratah sea anemone). Its description in RNAcentral is "elongator complex protein 4-like, transcript variant X1". Lineage: Eukaryota; Metazoa; Cnidaria; Anthozoa; Actiniaria; Actiniidae. The record is from RNAcentral.